RNAcentral lists this long non-coding RNA (253 nucleotides) under Gossypium raimondii (Peruvian cotton). RNAcentral describes it as "long non-coding RNA (GRAI_LNC010378)". The record is from RNAcentral. Lineage: Eukaryota; Viridiplantae; Streptophyta; Magnoliopsida; Malvales; Malvaceae.
AGAAAACUGAAAAUGCCCUGAAUUUGGAUGAAAUUGCCAGAACUGAAAAUGCCCUGAAUUUGGAUCAAAUUGCCAGAAUAGUGAAAAUCGACAUUGUGGGAAAAUCUAAAUGUAGUGCAUGUUUUUUAGAAAACUAAUAAGAAGAUAAAUAAAAAUAAAUAAGAAGAUAAAGUGAUUACAAACUCGAAUAAAAAAACAAUCAAAAUAAUAAAAAUAACAAAAUAGUUCAAAAUAAAAAUAAAAUAAAGAAGUC